GAAAAGAGGAUCUACAGGAAAGAGUUGUGCAGAGAUGGGUACAAUCUUCGAGGGUAUUUGGAUACUGGGUGCUAAACUUUAGCAGUGUCAUAUCAAAUGUUCGGAUGCUAAUUAGGAGGACUAAACAUGAGCUAAUUAUAAAACUAAUUACACAUAUGGAGUCUAAUUCGCGUGACGAAUCUAUUAAGGCUAAUUAAUCCAUCAUUAGCAAAUGGUUACUGUAGCACCACA
RNAcentral lists this long non-coding RNA (231 nucleotides) under Setaria viridis. Its description in RNAcentral is "long non-coding RNA (SVIR_LNC001415)". Lineage: Eukaryota; Viridiplantae; Streptophyta; Magnoliopsida; Poales; Poaceae. The record is from RNAcentral.